UUUCCGUAGGUGAACCUGCGGAAGGAUCAUUAUCGUACAAAAUGUGAGGGGCAUGCGAGGGCUGUCGCUGACUCAAAAGUCGUGCACGCCCGAGCGUGUCCUCUUGCAUAAUAAUCCAUCUCACCCUUUGUGCAUCACCGCGUGGGCACCCUUCGGGAUCAUCUCGGAGGGGGGCUCGCGUUUUCACACAAACCCCCCUUUUAAAAGUGUAGAAUGACCACAUUUAUGCAAUCAAUACAACUUUCAACAACGGAUCUCUUGGCUCUCGCAUCGAUGAAAACGCAGC
Molecule: unclassified non-coding RNA, 286 nt
Filed under: plant metagenome
Description: partial contains small subunit ribosomal RNA, internal transcribed spacer 1, and 5.8S ribosomal RNA
Rfam family: 5.8S ribosomal RNA (bases 239-286)
Source: RNAcentral